CCUGGAGCCAGCUCUAUCCCCUGCAGAGCCGUGAGGUCAGUGCUCCACAUCCUGGGGCAACGUGAAGUCCCUGAAGCUGUAGAAGGAAAUGUCACCAUGAUCCACCAGAGCAAAGAUCAGAGGGACAUCCCCACUCUGGACUCUAAUGAAGAGGGCCCCAGAGCCCUGGUUGGGGAGGUGCUAAGAAGAGCAAGGUGCUCACCACUCUUAGCCUGUGAAUUUCCACAAUCUACAUCCCUUCUGCUGGGUGAGUCUUAGACUAAAAUGGCAUUGGAGAGAGACUACCCUAAAAUGCCAGCAACGAGGAGCUCAGAGUAGGGCAGCACAAACUGGCUGUGUGGCCUUGUGUAGGUCACUUAGCCUCUCUGGACCUCAGGUUCCUCUCAGAGAUUGGCACACUGGCCAGGGGAGUACAGAGGAGUCCCACUUGGUUCACAGGAGAACUGGCAGCAGCUGGGGGAGGGGCAAUGCUGGCUCACUGCAUACCCACUAAUGCACAUCCGGGCAUAGGGUUUGCCAGGGUUAUUCUUUCGGAAUGUGGCCACAGCGUCAGCCUGGUAAACAUCAAAGCUGAUUUCCAAGCCCCCAGACUUCUCCAGCAGCCUGACAACACAAUGCGAAACGUUAUGACAUGAACUUUUCUCCCCAACCUUUCUCUUCCAUCCCACCCUUUCCCUCCAUCAGUGACAGGAAGCAGCCUCACAGAGGUGCCACCUGAGGGUUGGGGACUCUGAACCCUUGGGCUAACCCACUGGUUGUUCUUCCUCUUCCCCAGACACACAUGAACAGUAGUUAUUGCUCAGAGCUAGGCAUAGGGGUAGGGAUCCCUGGAACAGUUUUCAGGAGCCAAAUCCUAACCACCAACUCCUGGCGGCCAAGGUACUGCAGAGACAGCACUGCUUGGAAACUUACUGGGCACCUCCAUCAGCAAGGUGUGUUGUCUGCAGCACAGAAAUAUGCUGAAGGACCACGGCUACAAGGACAGAGAAAACAAGGUGCCGCCGCUGCAGCAGCUCCUUGUACUCCCGCCAGCUGGAACAGCUCUGCACCUCGGGAUCAGCGUUGACAUCUUCCCGGAACCGCGCGGCCUCCACGUGGUGCUCCCGUUCCCGCCUCGAGAGC
Piliocolobus tephrosceles (Ugandan red Colobus) is the source of this 1122-nucleotide long non-coding RNA. RefSeq lists it as uncharacterized. The transcript is spliced from 3 exons. The record is from RefSeq and is a predicted model, not a curated record. Lineage: Eukaryota; Metazoa; Chordata; Mammalia; Primates; Cercopithecidae.